UACGGAGGAUGCAAGCGUUAUCCGGAUUUAUUGGGUUUAAAGGGUGCGCAGGUUGUUUGAUAAGUCAGUGGUGAAAGUCUGUCGCUUAACGGUAGGAUUGCCAUUGAUACUGUUAGACUUGAAUAUGGAUGAGGUAGGCGGAAUGUGUAGUGUAGCGGUGAAAUGCAUAGAUAUUACACAGAACACCGAUUGCAAAGGCAGCUUACUAAUCCAUCAUUGACGCUGAGGCUCGAAAGCGUGGGGAGGCAAACA
This 252-nucleotide ribosomal RNA is filed under the name uncultured prokaryote. Its description in RNAcentral is "partial 16S ribosomal RNA". It matches the Rfam family "Bacterial small subunit ribosomal RNA", at positions 524 to 774 of the family's 1533-position model. The record is from RNAcentral.